This is a non-coding RNA of Lactuca sativa (garden lettuce), 1294 nucleotides long. Lineage: Eukaryota; Viridiplantae; Streptophyta; Magnoliopsida; Asterales; Asteraceae. The record is from RefSeq and is a predicted model, not a curated record.
UUCACAUGUUGUAACUUAAUAUUUCAUAAGAGCCAAAUAAGAAAUUAACAAACAAAGCAGAUACAAAAAAUUACGAACAAAAAAAGAUGAAUCCCAAGAAGAGCCCGACCAUCUAAAGGAAGCUAAAGAUUAAAAUGUAACAGCCGCGUACAAGUUUUAAGAAAGCUAAAGAAAUCAAACAAUAGAAAGAGCUAGCCACAUAAGAAGUUAACAAACAAGAAAGAUGACACAUGGACGUUAUAAUUACACACAAAGAUUGAUUAAUUUCAUGAAUGACAAAUGCCUAAAACAAUGAAUGAUGGGGGGAAGGAGUUGGCCUUCUGUUUCUUGUAAUCGGAGUAUUUACUACUUAUUUCCCUUUUCUAUACCCUUCUUGAUCAUUUAUUACUCUCUCUCUCUCUCUCUCUCUCUCUCUCUCUCUCUCUCUCUCUCUCUCUCUCUCUCUCUCUCUCUCUCUCUCUCUCUCUCUCUCUCUCUCUCUCUCUCUCUCUCUCUCUCCCCCAACCCCCGAGUUCUUAUAAAUGGCCUUACAUCCGCUAAACUACCAAACCACCUCACUUCUGGUGCUGCUCUUCUUGAUCACCACCCUAAUCUCUCCCCACUUUCUCUCUUGUACUUGAGAAAAAAAGCUAUCGGCUUUAAGGGAAUUGACUUCCAUCUUCUUGAGGAUCAAGAGCGGUUGAAAGUUAGCCAGGAAAGAUGAGCAGAAGAACUGAUGGAGGAAACGAACUGAAGCUUGACUUGAAACUCAACUUAUCCCCACAGAGAACUCAAUGGCCGGUGACGGAAUCACCCAAUCGGUCGUCACCGAUCACUGUAUCUCCGACGAACUCAUGUGUGUCAUUGGAGCUUGCUCAAGAUGAGAUGGAGCUUCGGUACUCAAGCAGCCCGGAGACAACGUCCAUGAUGCUGGCCGGAUGUCCUCGCUGUCUGAUGUACGUUAUGCUUGCUCAGGAUUUCCCGAAGUGCCCUAAAUGCAAGAGCACAGUUCUGCUUGAUGUUGUUCUUGACAAACCGAUCAAAAAAUGAGAAAUUAGUUCAGUUAAAUUUAAUGUCAUUAGCUUGCUAGUUUUAUUAAUAUAUUUUGCCGCGGUUUCAAAAAAAAAAAAAAAAAUGUCAUUAACUUCUAGAAUUAGUGGGAAGUUUUGUUUUUUAUUUUAUUGUUAUAAUUCUAUUUCUUUUUUCUGUUUUUAUCGGAGAUGUUUAUUUUAUAGGUGAUGUUUACUUAUAUUCUAUUGUAUUUUUUUAUGUGAUGAAAUAUGAUGUUUAAUGAUGAUUCCCCUCUUAUCCUUCU